Molecule: ribosomal RNA, 400 nt
Filed under: uncultured bacterium
Lineage: Bacteria
Description: bacterial SSU rRNA
Rfam family: Bacterial small subunit ribosomal RNA
Source: RNAcentral
GGGGAAUAUUGCACAAUGGGCGAAAGCCUGAUGCAGCAACGCCGCGUGAGUGAUGAAUGCCUUCGGAUUGUAAAGCUCUGUCUUUGGGGACGAUAAUGACGGUACCCAAGGAGGAAGCCACGGCUAACUAUGUGCCAGCAGCCGCGGUAAUACGUAGGUGGCGAGCGUUGUCCGGAUUUACUGGGCGUAAAGGAUGCGUAGGCGGAUGUUUAAGUGAGAUGUGAAAUCCCCGAGCUUAACUUGGGAGCUGCAUUUCAAACUGGAGAGCUAGAGUGCAGGAGAGGAGAAUGGAAUUCCUAGUGUAGCGGUGAAAUGCGUAGAGAUUAGGAAGAACACCAGUGGCGAAGGCGAUUCUCUGGACUGUAACUGACGCUGAGGCAUGAAAGCGUGGGUAGCAAAC